Molecule: ribosomal RNA, 429 nt
Filed under: Bacteroidota bacterium
Lineage: Bacteria; Pseudomonadati; Bacteroidota
Description: Bacteroidetes bacterium partial 16S ribosomal RNA
Rfam family: Bacterial small subunit ribosomal RNA
Source: RNAcentral
UAGGGAAUCUUCCGCAAUGGACGCAAGUCUGACGGAGCAACGCCGCGUGAGUGAAGAAGGAUUUCGGUUCGUAAAACUCUGUUGUUAGAGAAGAACAGCGCAUAGAGUAACUGUUAUGCGUGUGACGGUAUCUAACCAGAAAGCCACGGCUAACUACGUGCCAGCAGCCGCGGUAAUACGUAGGUGGCAAGCGUUGUCCGGAUUUAUUGGGCGUAAAGCGAGCGCAGGCGGUCAAUUAAGUCUGAUGUGAAAGCCCCCGGCUCAACCGGGGAGAGUCAUUGGAAACUGGUUGACUUGAGUGCAGAAGAGGAGAGGGGAAUUCCAUGUGUAGCGGUGAAAUGCGUAGAUAUAUGGAGGAACACCAGUGGCGAAGGCGACUCUCUGGUCUGUAACUGACGAUGAGGUUCGAAAGCGUGGGUAGCAAACAGG